GCCGAGCACUGCAGCACGUGCCUGUAGUCCCAGCUACUCGCGAGGCUGCGGUGGGAGGAUCGCUUGAGCCCAGGAGUUCUGGGCUGCAGUGCGCUAUGCCGAGCGGGUGUCCGCACUAAGUUCGGCAUCAAUAUGGUGACCUCCUGGGAGCGGGGGACCACCAGGUUGCCUAAGGAGGGUGAACCGGCCCAGGUCGGAAAUGGAGCAGGUCAAAACUCCCGUGCUGAUCAGUAGUGGGAUCGCGCCUGUGAAUAGCCACUGCACUCCAGCCUGGGCAACAUACAAAGACCCCAUCUCU
This 298-nucleotide signal recognition particle RNA is filed under the name Aotus nancymaae (Ma's night monkey). Its description in RNAcentral is "Metazoan signal recognition particle RNA (ENSANAG00000004858.1)". It matches the Rfam family "Metazoan signal recognition particle RNA". Rfam says of the family: The signal recognition particle (SRP) is a universally conserved ribonucleoprotein. It is involved in the co-translational targeting of proteins to membranes. The record is from RNAcentral. Lineage: Eukaryota; Metazoa; Chordata; Mammalia; Primates; Aotidae.